This 253-nucleotide ribosomal RNA is filed under the name uncultured bacterium. RNAcentral's name for it is "partial 16S ribosomal RNA". It matches the Rfam family "Bacterial small subunit ribosomal RNA", at positions 524 to 776 of the family's 1533-position model. The record is from RNAcentral.
UACGUAGGUGACAAGCGUUGUCCGGAUUUACUGGGCGUAAAGAGCGCGCAGGCGGUCGAUCAAGUCGAGUGUGAAAGCCCCCGGCUCAACUGGGGAGGGUCAUUCGAUACUGAUCGACUCGAAGGCAGGAGAGGGUAGUGGAAUUCUUGGUGUAGCGGUGAAAUGCGUAGAUAUCAAGAGGAACACCAGAGGCGAAGGCGAGUUGCUAGGCUGACACUGACGCUGAGGCGCGAAAGCUAGGGGAGCGAACGGG